CUGCAGAGGAACGGCUGUUGAUCUGCGGUGGCUUCAGGUCCCCGGCUCGUUGGUGGCUCCCGCGCUCUGCUUCUCCCCACUUCUCUCCAGCAGCUGCCUGGUGAAGACAAAGCCAUGGCGCUCCGGGUCACCAGGAACACAAAAGUUAAUGUUGAAAAUAAGGUGAAGGUCAGUAUGGCAGGCACAAAGCGCGUGCCUCUGGCCACGACUGCGGCCUCCAAACCCGGGCUGAGGCCAAGAACGGCUCUCGGAGACAUUGGUAACAAAGUCAGCGAACAACCACAGGCCAAACUGCCUCUGAAAAAGGAAGCAAAAACUUUGGUUCCUGGAAAAGUUAUUGCUAAAAAAAUACCUAAACCUCUGGAAAAGGCACCUGAGCCUGUGCCAGAACCAGAGCCAGAUCCUGAGCCCAUUAAAGAAGAAAAACUUUCGCCUGAGCCUAUUUUGGUUGAUACUCCCUCUCCAAGCCCAAUGGAAACAUCUGGAUGUGCCCCUGCAGAAGAAUAUCUGUGUCAGGCAUUCUCUGAUGUAAUUCUUGCAGUGAAUGAUGUGGAUGCAGAAGAUGGAGCUGAUCCAAACCGUUGCAGUGAACAUGUGAAAGAUAUUUAUGCUUAUUUGAGACAACUUGAGGAAGAGCAAGCAGUCAGACCAAAAUACCUACUGGGUCGUGAAGUCACUGGAAACAUGAGAGCCAUCCUUAUUAACUGGCUAGUACAGGUUCAAAUGAAAUUCAGGUUACUGCAGGAGACCAUGUACAUGACUGUUUCCAUUAUUGAUCAGUUCAUGCAGAAUAACUGUGUGCCCAAGAAGAUGCUGCAGCUGGUUGGUAUCACUGCCAUGUUUAUUGCAAGCAAAUAUGAAGAAAUGUACCCUCCAGAAAUUGGUGACUUUGCCUUUGUGACUGACAACACUUACACUAAACACCAAAUCAGACAGAUGGAAAUGAAGAUUCUAAGAUCUUUAAAUUUUGGUUUGGGCCGCCCUCUACCCCUGCAUUUCCUUCAGAGAGCAACUAAGAUUGGAGAGGUUGAUGUUGAGCAACAUACUUUAGCCAAAUACCUGAUGGAACUAACUAUGUUGGACUACGAUAUGGUGCACUUUCCUCCUUCUCAGAUUGCAGCAGGAGCUUUUUGCUUAGCACUGAAAAUUCUUGAUAAUGGUGAAUGGACACCAACUCUACAGCAUUAUCUCUCAUACACUGAAGAAUCCCUUCUAAAUGUUAUGCAACACCUGGCUAAGAAUAUAGUCACGGUGAAUCAUGGGCUUACAAAGCACAUGACUAACAAGAACAAGUAUGCCACAUCUAAGCAUGCUAAGAUCAGCACUCUGGCACAGCUAAAUUCUGCACUAGUUCAAUACUUAGCCCAGGCUGUGGCAAAGGUGUAACUUGUAAACAUGAGUUAGAGUACUAUAACUGCAAAUAAAAUUGGCACCAUGUGCCAUCUGUACAUAUUAUAUGUUACCUUUACUUUUAAUAAAGUUUGUGGUCCUUUUUA
Molecule: non-coding RNA, 1496 nt
Organism: Leptonychotes weddellii (Weddell seal)
Lineage: Eukaryota; Metazoa; Chordata; Mammalia; Carnivora; Phocidae
Source: RefSeq, a predicted model, not a curated record